ACCAGGAUGGCCUAGUGGUUAAGGCGUUGGGCUUAAGUUCUAAUGGAUGUAUAUCUAUGUUGGUUCGAACCCCACUCCUAUUA
This is a non-coding RNA of Xenopus laevis (African clawed frog), 83 nucleotides long. Lineage: Eukaryota; Metazoa; Chordata; Amphibia; Anura; Pipidae. The record is from Rfam.